This 400-nucleotide ribosomal RNA is filed under the name uncultured bacterium. RNAcentral's name for it is "bacterial SSU rRNA". It matches the Rfam family "Bacterial small subunit ribosomal RNA", at positions 359 to 776 of the family's 1533-position model. The record is from RNAcentral.
GAAUAUUGGACAAUGGGGGCAACCCUGAUCCAGCAAUGCCGCGUGAGUGAUGAAGGCCUUAGGGUUGUAAAGCUCUUUCACCGGGGAAGAUAAUGACGGUACCCGGAGAAGAAGCCCCGGCUAACUCCGUUCCAGCCGCCGCGGUAAUACGGAGGGGGCUAGCGUUGUUCGGAAUUGCUGGGCGUAAAGCGCGCGUAGGCGGAUUGUUAAGUCGGGGGUGAAAUCCCGGGGCUCAACCCCGGAACUGCCUCCGAUACUGGCAGUCUUGAGUCCGAGAGAGGUGAGUGGAAUUCCGAGUGUAGAGGUGAAAUUCGUAGAUAUUCGGAGGAACACCAGUGGCGAAGGCGGCUCACUGGCUCGGUACUGACGCUGAGGUGCGAAAGCGUGGGGAGCAAACAGG